This 512-nucleotide ribosomal RNA is filed under the name uncultured Pseudomonadota bacterium. Its description in RNAcentral is "bacterial SSU rRNA". It matches the Rfam family "Bacterial small subunit ribosomal RNA", at positions 392 to 896 of the family's 1533-position model. The record is from RNAcentral. Lineage: Bacteria; Pseudomonadati; Pseudomonadota.
CAACGCCACGUGUGUGAUGAAGGUCUUCGGAUUGUAAAGCACUUUCGACCGGGACGAAAACCCUGAGGCUAACAUCCUCAGGCUUGACGGUACCGGGAGAAGAAGCACCGGCUAACUCUGUGCCAGCAGCCGCGGUAAUACAGAGGGUGCAAGCGUUGUUCGGAAUUAUUGGGCGUAAAGCGCGUGUAGGCGGCUUUGCAAGUCGGGUGUGAAAGCCCUCAGCUCAACUGAGGAAGUGCGCCCGAAACUGCAGAGCUUGAGUGCCGGAGAGGGUGGCGGAAUUCCCCAAGUAGAGGUGAAAUUCGUAGAUAUGGGGAGGAACACCGGUGGCGAAGGCGGCCACCUGGACGGUAACUGACGCUGAGACGCGAAAGCGUGGGGAGCAAACAGGAUUAGAUACACUGGUAGUCCACGCCGUAAACGAUGAGAACUAGGUGUCGUGGGUGUUGACCCCCGCGGUGCCGUAGCUAACGCAUUAAGUUCUCCGCCUGGGAAGUACGGUCGCAAGACUA